RNAcentral lists this transfer RNA (85 nucleotides) under Aliivibrio sp. RNAcentral's name for it is "tRNA-Leu". It matches the Rfam family "tRNA". Rfam says of the family: Transfer RNA (tRNA) molecules are approximately 80 nucleotides in length. Their secondary structure includes four short double-helical elements and three loops (D, anti-codon, and T loops). Further hydrogen bonds mediate the characteristic L-shaped molecular structure. tRNAs have two regions of fundamental functional importance: the anti-codon, which is responsible for specific mRNA codon recognition, and the 3' end, to which the tRNAs corresponding amino acid is attached (by aminoacyl-tRNA synthetases). tRNAs cope with the degeneracy of the genetic code in two manners: having more than one tRNA (with a specific anti-codon) for a particular amino acid; and 'wobble' base-pairing, i.e. permitting non-standard base-pairing at the 3rd anti-codon position. Lineage: Bacteria; Pseudomonadati; Pseudomonadota; Gammaproteobacteria; Vibrionales; Vibrionaceae. The record is from RNAcentral.
GCCCGAGUGGUGAAAUUGGUAUACACGACGGAUUCAAAAUCCGUUGUCGAAAGACGUGCCGGUUCAAGUCCGGCCUCGGGCACCA